RNAcentral lists this unclassified non-coding RNA (263 nucleotides) under plant metagenome. RNAcentral's name for it is "partial contains small subunit ribosomal RNA, internal transcribed spacer 1, and 5.8S ribosomal RNA". The record is from RNAcentral.
UUUCCGUAGGUGAACCUGCGGAAGGAUCAUUAUUGUAUAACCGAGGUGCGAGGGCUGUCGCUGACCCGAAAGGUCGUGCACGCCCGAGUGCCCUCACACACAUCCAUCUCACCCCUAUGUGCACCACCGCGUGGGUCCCCCUUUGGCUUGUUCGGAGGGGGGCUUACGUUUUCAAACAAACUUUGUAUGCAGUGUAGAAUGUAUUUUUUGUUUUUGCGAUCACGCAAUCAAUACAACUUUCAACAACGGAUCUCUUGGCUCUC